This 936-nucleotide ribosomal RNA is filed under the name Triticum aestivum (bread wheat). RNAcentral's name for it is "partial small subunit ribosomal RNA". The record is from RNAcentral. Lineage: Eukaryota; Viridiplantae; Streptophyta; Magnoliopsida; Poales; Poaceae.
AUGGGGUCUAUUUUUAUAGAUGAUUUCUCUCGUUACACAUGGCUUUAUUUCAUGACUUCUCGUAGUGAGGUGUUGUCUAUUUAUAAGCGUUUUGCUGCCAUGGUUCAUACUCAGUUCUCUUCACCCAUUCGUAUUUUUCGUGCUGACUCCGCUGGCGAGUAUAUCUCUAAGAUGUUGCGUGGUGUCCUUGCUGAGCAGGGUACUCUUGCCCAGUUCUCUUGUCCUGGUGCUCAUGCUCAGAAUGGUGUGUCUGAGCGCAAGCAUCGUCACCUUCUUGAGACGGCUCGUGCGAUGAUGAUCGCCGCCUCUCUUCCGCCUCAUUUUUGGGCUGAGGCUAUCUCCACUUCCGCCUAUCUCAUCAACCUUCAGCCGUCCGCUGCUUUGCAGGGUGGUGUUCCUUUUGAGCGUCUUUUUGAUCGUUCUCCCGAUUAUUCGAUGCUUCGCUUGUUUGGUUGUGUUUGCUAUGUUCUUCUUGCCCCCCGCGAACGCACCAAACUGACCGCUCAGUUUGUUGAGUGUGUCUUCUUAGGCUACAGUGAUGAGCAUAAGGGCUAUCGUUGUUGGGAUUCUAUCGGUCGUCGGAUGCGUAUCUCUCGAGACGUGACUUUUGAUGAGUCUCGUCCCUUCUACCCACGCCCAUCUUCCUCGAUUUUUUUAGUGGAGGAUAUCUCUUUCCUCACUUUUCCUGACUCACCUAUCACCCCCGUCGCGCCUGUGCCUAUUCGUUCCACUUCCUCUGCUUCUCCACCUCUAGUCGAUUUGCAGCCACCAUCUUCUCCGGUCUCCUCGCCUAGCAUGUCACCGGAUUCUACACCUUCAUCUCCGGUGACUUCUUCGUCACCACCCCCGAUUCUACCUUGGCGAUUCCUCCUUCUAUUGUUUCAUCUUUUCCUCAGCAUUACACUCGUCGUUCACGACCUGUGGAUGCCUCAUUAG